Ruditapes philippinarum (Manila clam) is the source of this 1850-nucleotide long non-coding RNA. RefSeq lists it as uncharacterized. The transcript is spliced from 3 exons. The record is from RefSeq and is a predicted model, not a curated record. Lineage: Eukaryota; Metazoa; Mollusca; Bivalvia; Venerida; Veneridae.
AGCAAACACAUGACGUUAAAAUAACGUCAGAUUAUCGUUAGAUUUUGGUCACGACGUCGGCGACCAAAAUACGACGUAAAUCUGACGUCCAAAAACCGAUGUCUAUUAGACGUUUCUUUUUGACGUCGUACUAACGUCAGGUUCUGGUCGGUUUCCUGACAGUAGGUAAAAAAUUAACGAAAGGUAAUCCUUAUACGCUGUUGUAAUCAUUUAAACUUUUUUUAAAAUGUUAUUUGGCUUACAAUAUAAUUGAUAUAUAUAUAUAUAUAUAUAUAUAUAUAUAUAUAUAUAUAUAUAUAUAUAUAUACAAGUGCCUUUCGAAGACCACGUGCGCGGCGCUGCAACCUAAUAAAACAUAUAGGUGGCGCUGUAUAUAGGUUAAUUACAUGUGUUUUUGUUAUGAAAUCUAUUUAUAGCCACAGAUCUGUUAACGAGUUCCAACCAUUUAACGUUACAGUAUUAUCAUUUGUGGUAUAUUAUAUGUAUCAAAAUCACGAGUUUUUAAUAGUUCUUUAAUAUUUAAUCAUAGUGACAGGAAAAGGAAAAAAAACAUAAUUAUAAUUCGAAUCUACAGUCACGUGGAUGGAAAAUUCAAAUUCGUAGGCGUUUCGUAUGUCAGGAAUCGGGAUGCAUUGAUAAAGUGAAUAUUACAGAUUUUCUUGAACAAAAAGGUAGUUCAAGCGUUUGACAUGCUCUCAAAGGUCGGAGCGGCAGAAAUACGUGAUAAUGUGAAAAGAAACAUGAAUCAUUGGAAAUGAAAAUGAUAUCACAAACGCCAUUGGACAUUAACAUGUUUCAUCCUCUGGACAGACGAGAGGUGGUGAGAGAAGGUCAUAUAUCUAAAGGAAUCACACCUCCAAAUACGUGCUAAUUCUUGUGGAUAUUUAAAAGUACAUUUGUGUAUAACUUUGUGAAGUAACUAAAAGGAAGUAAUUUAUACGUUAGUGACAAUUAUCAAAAGGAGGUCAAAAUAUGAAAAAUACCACUAAAUGUUUUAGUAAUGCUGUAGAAAUAUAGUUAAAAUACUGAAUAUCUGUCAUUAAUUGCUUGAAACAUUAUUAUCCGAAUCUUUUUAACUUUAAAAUCUUAAAAUUAAAAUAUUUUCAUUAUUUUGUUUGAUAAGGCAAACUUUGAUAGAAAUAUACAUACGUUUUGUUCAUUAAUAUUUGUAUAUGAUUUCUUAGUUUCAUUUAUGUCAUUGAUUUUGUAAUACUUUUUGUUUUGUUAUUAACUUAUUUUAUGUUUUAUUUGGUUUAGUUUAUGAAAAGUAUUUAGCCUUGCAGAAUUAACUAAAACUGUAUGUAUCAGCUUUAAAUUGCAACUUUUAUCUUAAAUAAAAAAACAACAUAAAAACAUAUUUUUGCUUUUAGUUUUUUGUUAUACAUUUCAUUGGAGUGAAAGUUACUUAAAAGAAUGAGUUACAUUACAUUUGAUCAAAUCAGGAUUGGCCAGAAAAUAUUUAUAACAUUGUAAACAAGGAGGAUUAGGGAAAUGAUCAGAUUAAGGUCAGAAAAUGGUCAUGUCUAGGGCAGAAAAAGGUUAAGAUUUAGAUCGGAAAAUGGUCAGAUCGAGGUCGGAAAUUGAUCAGAAACUGGUUAGAUUUAGGUUGGAAAAUGGUCAGAUUGAGGUCGUAAAAUGGUCAGAAACUUGUUAGAUAACGGUCAGAUUUUGGUCGGAAAAUGGUCAGCUUUUGGUCAGAAAUUGUUAGAUAAUGGUUAGAUCCUGACGUCUAUCUGACGUCAGAUUAUUACGUCAAAAAAACUUUCAAAUCCGACCGUUUUUCCGACCGUCAUCCGACGUCAGAACCUGACUUAAAUCUGACGUCAGUAUGACGUCUUGUGUUUGCUGGG